AAAAACUCAAGAUGGCUUCAGGAGAAUCUCACAGAUAUGGAUGUCAAGGUUAAAGGAAUGAUCAAACUCAUUAAUGAAGAUGCUGAUUCUUUUGCAAGGAGAGCAGAGAUGUACUAUAAAAAACGUCCAGAGUUGAUGAAAUUUGUAGAAGAAUUCUAUAGAGCAUACCGUGCAUUGGCUGAAAGAUAUGAUCACGCAACCGGUGUGAUCCGGCACGCCCACCGGACCAUGACAGAUUUAGGACUUGGAGAUGAUUCACCUGCAGGUUCUGAUCCUCAAACACCA
RNAcentral lists this unclassified non-coding RNA (285 nucleotides) under Hevea brasiliensis (rubber tree). Lineage: Eukaryota; Viridiplantae; Streptophyta; Magnoliopsida; Malpighiales; Euphorbiaceae. The record is from RNAcentral.